RNAcentral lists this transfer RNA (84 nucleotides) under marine sediment metagenome. It matches the Rfam family "tRNA". Rfam says of the family: Transfer RNA (tRNA) molecules are approximately 80 nucleotides in length. Their secondary structure includes four short double-helical elements and three loops (D, anti-codon, and T loops). The record is from RNAcentral.
GUCCAUGUGGUGAAAUUGGUAGACACGUCAGCUUGAGGGGCUGAUAUUCGAAAGGAUGUGCAGGUUCGAGUCCUGUUAUGGACA